GAUGAACGCUGGCGGCGUGCUUAACACAUGCAAGUCGAACGAAGUCACUUUUGCUGAGGACCCUCGGGUUGAUUUAAAAGUGACUGAGUGGCGGACGGGUGAGUAACGGCGUGGGUAACCCUGCCUCACGACAGGGGGAUAACAGUUAGAAAUGACUGCUAAUACCGCAUAAGCGCACGGUCUCGCAUGGGACAGUAGUGAAAAACUCCGGUGGUGUGAGAUGGACCCGCGUCUGAUUAGCUAGGUUGGUGGGGUAACGGCCUACCAAGGCGACGAUCAGUAGCUGACCUGAGAGGGUGACCGGCCACAUUGGGACUGAGACACGGCCCAAACUCCUACGGGAGGCAGCAGUGGGGAAUAUUGCACGAAUGGGGGAAACCCUGAUGCAGCGACGCCGCGUGAUUGAAGAAGUAUUUCGGUAUGUAAAGAUCUAUCAGCAAGGAAGAAAAUGACGGUACUUGACUAAGAAGCCCCGGCUAACUACGUG
RNAcentral lists this ribosomal RNA (487 nucleotides) under uncultured bacterium. Its description in RNAcentral is "bacterial SSU rRNA". It matches the Rfam family "Bacterial small subunit ribosomal RNA", at positions 28 to 507 of the family's 1533-position model. The record is from RNAcentral.